UACGAAGGGGGCUAGCGUUGCUCGGAAUCACUGGGCGUAAAGCGUGCGUAGGCGGAUGUGCAGGCGUCGUGUGAAAGCCCUCGGCUCAACCGGGGAAUUGCACGGCGAACCGCACGUCUCGAGACAAGUAGGGGCGGUCGGAACGAUAGGUGGAGUGGUGAAAUGCGCUGAUAUCUAUCGGAACGCCAAAGGUGAAGACAGGCCGCUGGGCUUGUUCUGACGCUGAUGCACGAAAGCGUGGGGAGCAAACGGG
This 253-nucleotide ribosomal RNA is filed under the name uncultured bacterium. Its description in RNAcentral is "partial 16S ribosomal RNA". It matches the Rfam family "Bacterial small subunit ribosomal RNA", at positions 524 to 776 of the family's 1533-position model. The record is from RNAcentral.